GUUGCUGAUUCAACUGCAACAACUCCAUGCAGAUUUAGGCGAACCUUUACCUUUACUUUUGCCCGCUCACUCUUCAUUGAUUGAAAAGGACCAAUCUGUCCGUCAACAUAAGAAUAAUAAUUUAUAAUACUGAACCAAUACAGUCAGUUGUAUUGAACAUUAGAUUAUAAAUGAGGAGAAACAUCAACUGAAGUUGUCCUAUUAGGAAAUUUGAAUAGACGUGCAUACUGUAUAUGUGCUGAUCUUCGCUGGUGCCUGCAGUUCACUAACAUCAGCAUACUGAACAUCUAUUGUGAAUGUGCCAGACCUGUAAAAUGUCAGAGCCUUCACACUAGGAAUGGGAUUUCCCUUGGAAAAGACAAUAGUACUUUGUUGGUUAUCUGCAGCUCCGUUCUGUGCAUCUGGAGCAGCACCUUUCCAUGACAACGCAAUUGGAAAGGGG
Molecule: long non-coding RNA, 442 nt
Filed under: Panax ginseng (ginseng)
Lineage: Eukaryota; Viridiplantae; Streptophyta; Magnoliopsida; Apiales; Araliaceae
Description: long non-coding RNA (PGIN_LNC006222)
Source: RNAcentral